This 236-nucleotide ribosomal RNA is filed under the name uncultured bacterium. RNAcentral's name for it is "partial 16S ribosomal RNA". It matches the Rfam family "Bacterial small subunit ribosomal RNA", at positions 335 to 564 of the family's 1533-position model. The record is from RNAcentral.
UUUCCUCGGGGCGCAGCAGUAGGGGAUCUUCCACAAUGGACGAAAGUCUGAUGGAGCAACGCCGCGUGAGUGAAGAAGGGUUUCGGCUCGUAAAGCUCUGUUGGUAGUGAAGAAAGAUAGGGGUAGUAACUGGCCUUUUUUUGACGGUAAUUACUUAGAAAGUCACGGCUAACUACGUGCCAGCAGCCGCGGUAAUACGUAGGUGGCAAGCGUUGUCCGGAUUUAUUGGGCGUAAA